RNAcentral lists this ribosomal RNA (253 nucleotides) under uncultured bacterium. Its description in RNAcentral is "partial 16S ribosomal RNA". It matches the Rfam family "Bacterial small subunit ribosomal RNA", at positions 524 to 776 of the family's 1533-position model. The record is from RNAcentral.
GACAGAUGAGGCGAGCGUUAUCCGGAGAUAUUCGGCGUAAAGGGUACGUAGGCGGCUGGUCAAGUCUGGGGUUAAAGACCACAGCUUAACUGUGGGGGGGCCUUGGAAACUGACCGGCUGGAGUGGGGCAGGGGUUGCGGGAAUUCCCGGUGUAGCGGUGAAAUGCGUAGAUAUCGGGAAGAACACCUGAGGCGAAAGCGCGCAACUGGGGCCUAACUGACGCUGAGGUACGAAAGCUAGGGGAGCGAAUGGG